GUUUCAGAUGCUGGAAGCUUGAAAUAAAACAAAGUGAUGGAGCACCUAGCAGAUCAGGCAGCAUCUGCAGAGAGAGAAAUGCUUCACUUGGCACAGACGCUACCUCAACUGGAAUUGCAAGUAUCAGAAGAAAAAUAAAUAUCAACAUCCAUAUUGAGAGGCAGAAGCAAGGAGAAAAAGUAGCCAGCUAUGCACUUGUCAAGACUUGAGCAAAGCACAGCAACAUUACUCUGCCUGCUUGCAAUUGGCCUCGCUUGAGAAAAU
Molecule: long non-coding RNA, 264 nt
Organism: Mobula hypostoma (lesser devil ray)
Lineage: Eukaryota; Metazoa; Chordata; Chondrichthyes; Myliobatiformes; Myliobatidae
Exons: 3
Source: RefSeq, a predicted model, not a curated record